RNAcentral lists this ribosomal RNA (605 nucleotides) under uncultured bacterium. RNAcentral's name for it is "bacterial SSU rRNA". It matches the Rfam family "Bacterial small subunit ribosomal RNA", at positions 887 to 1501 of the family's 1533-position model. The record is from RNAcentral.
CGCAAGGUUAAAACUCAAAUGAAUUGACGGGGACCCGCACAAGUAGUGGAGCAUGUGGUCUAAUUCGAAGAUACGCGCAGAACCUUACCAACACUUGACAUGUUCGUCGCGACUUUGAGAGAUCAAAGUUUUCGGUUCGGCCGGACGAAACACAGGUGCUGCAUGGCUGUCGUCAGCUCGUGUCGUGAGAUGUUGGGUUAAGUCCCGCAACGAGCGCAACCCUCACUUUUAGUUGCCAUCAUUAAGUUGGGCACUCUGAAAGAACUGCCAGUGAUAAGCUGGAGGAAGGUGGGGAUGACGUCAAGUCCUCAUGGCCCUUACGUGUUGGGCUACACACGUGCUACAAUGGUAUCUACAACAGGAAGCAAAAUCGCGAGGUUAAGCAAAUCCUUAAAAGAUACCUCAGUUCGGAUUGCACUCUGCAACUCGAGUGCAUGAAGCUGGAAUUACUAGUAAUCGUGGAUCAGCGUGCCACGGUGAAUGCGUUCCCGGGUCUUGACACACCGCCCGUCACACCAUGGGAGUUGGUUCUACCUUAAGGCAAGGCUUAAAACCCUUGACCACGGUAUAGUCAGCGACUGGGGUGAAGUCGUAACAAGGUAACC